CCUACGGGUGGCAGCAGUGAGGAAUAUUGGUCAAUGGACGAGAGUCUGAACCAGCCAAGUAGCGUGAAGGAUGACUGCCCUAUGGGUUGUAAACUUCUUUUAUAUGGGAAUAAAAUGUUCCACGUGUGGGAUUUUGUAUGUACCAUAUGAAUAAGGAUCGGCUAACUCCGUGCCAGCAGCCGCGGUAAUACGGAGGAUCCGAGCGUUAUCCGGAUUUAUUGGGUUUAAAGGGAGCGUAGGUGGAUUGUUAAGUCAGUUGUGAAAGUUUGCGGCUCAACCGUAAAAUUGCAGUCGAAACUGGCAGUCUUGAGUACAGUAGAGGUGGGCGGAAUUCGUGGUGUAGCGGUGAAAUGCUUAGAUAUCACGAAGAACUCCGAUUGCGAAGGCAGUUCACUGGACUGCAACUGACACUGAGGCUCGAAAGUGUGGGUAUCAAACAGGAUUAGAUACCCUAGUAGUC
RNAcentral lists this ribosomal RNA (460 nucleotides) under uncultured bacterium. RNAcentral describes it as "partial 16S ribosomal RNA". It matches the Rfam family "Bacterial small subunit ribosomal RNA", at positions 338 to 795 of the family's 1533-position model. The record is from RNAcentral.